GCUGGAAGGUUAAGGGGAUCUGUUAGAGCAAUCGAAGCAGUGAACUUAAGCCCCAGUAAACGGCGGCCGUAACUAUAACGGUCCUAAGGUAGCGAAAUUCCUUGUCGGGUAAGUUCCGACCCGCACGAAAGGCGUAACGAUUUGGGCACUGUCUCAACAACAGACUCGGUGAAAUUGUAAUUCCGGUGAAGAUGCCGGAUACCUGCGACAGGACGGAAAGACCCCAUGGAGCUUUACUGUAGCUUGACAUUGGGUCUUGGUACUACAUGUACAGGAUAGGUGGGAGGCUUUGAAACCAGGACGCCAGUUUUGGCGGAGCCAUCCUUGGGAUACCACCCUUGUAGUACUGGGACUCUAACCAUAGGCCAUGAAUCUGGUCUUGGGACACUGUCAGGUGGGCAGUUUGACUGGGGCGGUCGCCUCCCAAAAGGUAACGGAGGCGCUCAAAGGUUCUCUCAGUACGGUCGGAAAUCGUACGUAGAGUGUAAAGGCAAAAGAGAGCUUGAUUGCAAGACAUACAGGUCGAGCAAGGAUGAAAAUCGGACUUAGUGAUCCGGUGGUUCUGCGUGGAAGGGCCAUCGCUCAACGGAUAAAAGCUCCCCUGGGGAUAACAGGCUUAUCUCCC
This 625-nucleotide ribosomal RNA is filed under the name Clostridium sp. HMSC19D02. RNAcentral's name for it is "bacterial LSU rRNA". It matches the Rfam family "Bacterial large subunit ribosomal RNA", at positions 1868 to 2491 of the family's 2925-position model. The record is from RNAcentral. Lineage: Bacteria; Bacillati; Bacillota; Clostridia; Eubacteriales; Clostridiaceae.